RNAcentral lists this long non-coding RNA (252 nucleotides) under Amborella trichopoda. RNAcentral's name for it is "long non-coding RNA (ATRI_LNC003283)". Lineage: Eukaryota; Viridiplantae; Streptophyta; Magnoliopsida; Amborellales; Amborellaceae. The record is from RNAcentral.
UCGAAUUGUUUUUUUUUUUUGUAAUCCAUGAUCGAAUUUUUUGGUUUUUUGUAACCCAUAAUAGAAUUUUUUGUAAUCCAUGAUCGAAAUGUUUGCUUUUUUUUUUGUAAUCCAUGAUUGAAUUUUUUGUUUUUUGUUUUUUUUGUAACCCAUGAUAGAGUUUUUUGUAAUCCAUGAUUGAAUUUUUUGUAAUCCAUGAUCAAACUGUUUUUUUCUUUUUUUGUAAUCCACGAUUGAAUUUUUUGUUUUUUU